ACCUCCCGUCACACUAUAGGAGUUGGCCAUGUUUGGUCAUUACCCUUAACCAUGAGGAGGGGGUGCCUAAGGCUAAGAUUGCUAUUGGAGUGAAGUCGUAACAAGGUAGUCGUACUAGAAGGUGCGGCCG
Molecule: non-coding RNA, 130 nt
Filed under: Triticum aestivum (bread wheat)
Lineage: Eukaryota; Viridiplantae; Streptophyta; Magnoliopsida; Poales; Poaceae
Description: Bacterial small subunit ribosomal RNA
Rfam family: Bacterial small subunit ribosomal RNA
Source: Rfam by way of RNAcentral